GGGGGUUUUUGUUAAACUGAUAUUCAAGGUCAAAACACCAGUCCCCACUGAGGAUGAUGUCCUUGGUGCCGUCAAGAAGCAAUUGUCUCCUCAAUUCACGACCACUCAAACCACCUUCCAGAAUGCAACUUAUAUCAAACUUACAGAUACUUCAUUUGCCAUCGACCUUGGUUUCAAAAUAACCAAUGUAACCCAGGAGUCUCUAAGUAAUAGACUCACACUCACCAAUGAGACCGAAACCCAGAUACAGGAUUCAAUUAACAGACUACUCCAAAAGGUUCUCAGUGAACCAGAUGGCAAACAGUUUAAAUUUCCCAAUGCCAACCUCAUUGUUGAUGGCACUGAAAUCAGGGCAAACGUGACGUAUGUAUACAAAGAGGAAGAUGUCAACCACCCUAGUGGUUUUCUACAGGAACUCUUAAAAGUCUCAGGUCUCCUAACCACCACUGUUGCCCCAACAACAACUACCAACACCACUCCACUUCCUACCCUUUUGACUUCAGUGACAUCAACAACUAGAUUCGACACAGUGGGGGGUUUU
Molecule: long non-coding RNA, 541 nt
Organism: Oncorhynchus gorbuscha (pink salmon)
Lineage: Eukaryota; Metazoa; Chordata; Actinopteri; Salmoniformes; Salmonidae
Exons: 6
Source: RefSeq, a predicted model, not a curated record